RNAcentral lists this ribosomal RNA (417 nucleotides) under uncultured bacterium. Its description in RNAcentral is "bacterial SSU rRNA". It matches the Rfam family "Bacterial small subunit ribosomal RNA", at positions 30 to 436 of the family's 1533-position model. The record is from RNAcentral.
AUUGAACGCUGGCGGCAGGCUUAACACAUGCAAGUCGAACGGUAACAGAGAAUAGCUUGCUAUUUUGCUGACGAGUGGCGGACGGGUGAGUAAUGCUUGGGAAUUUACCUUGUUGUGGGGGACAACAGUUGGAAACGACUGCUAAUACCGCAUAAUGUCUUUGGACCAAAGGUGGCCUCUAUUUAUAUGCUAUCGCGACAAGAUGAGCCCAAGUGGGAUUAGCUAGUUGGUAAGGUAAUGGCUUACCAAGGCGACGAUCCCUAGCUGGUCUUAGAGGAUGACCAGCCACACUGGAACUGAGACACGGUCCAGACUCCUACGGGAGGCGAGCAGUGGGGAAUAUUGCACAAUGGGGGAAACCCUGAUGCAGCCAUGCCGCGUGUAGUGAAGAAGGCUUUCGGGUUGUUAAAGCACUUU